AUUGAACGCUGGCGGCAGGCUUAACACAUGCAAGUCGAGCGGGGUGAUGGUGCUUGCACUAUCACUUAGCGGCGGACGGGUGAGUAAUGCUUAGGAAUCUGCCUAUUAGUGGGGGACGACAUCUCGAAAGGGAUGCUAAUACCGCAUACGUCCUACGGGAGAAAGCAGGGGAUCACUUGUGACCUUGCGCUAAUAGAUGAGCCUAAGUCGGAUUAGCUAGUUGGUGGGGUAAAGGCCUACCAAGGCGACGAUCUGUAGCGGGUCCGAGAGGAUGAUCCGCCACACUGGGACUGAGACACGGCCCAGACUCCUACGGGAGGCAGCAGUGGGGAAUAUUGGACAAUGGGGGGAACCCUGAUCCAGCCAUGCCGCGUGUGUGAAGAAGGCCUUAUGGUUGUAAAGCACUUUAAGCGAGGAGGAGGCUCUUUUGGUUAAUACCCAAGAUGAGUGGACGUUACUCGCAGAAUAAGCACCGGCUAACUCUGUGCCAGCAGCCGCAGUAA
RNAcentral lists this ribosomal RNA (503 nucleotides) under uncultured bacterium. Its description in RNAcentral is "partial 16S ribosomal RNA". It matches the Rfam family "Bacterial small subunit ribosomal RNA", at positions 30 to 523 of the family's 1533-position model. The record is from RNAcentral.